Long non-coding RNA from Uranotaenia lowii, 557 nucleotides. RefSeq lists it as uncharacterized. The record is from RefSeq and is a predicted model, not a curated record. NCBI's taxonomy places the organism in Eukaryota, Metazoa, Arthropoda, Insecta, Diptera, Culicidae. The transcript is spliced from 3 exons.
GUGUCAAACAUCUUUCGGUGACUGUUUAAAACCACAUUCCACCAGUUAUUUAAAAAAAAAACCUCAAAACCACAACGGUAAAAGAGCACCAGGCUCUGUAAUUUGACUUGAAUUCCUCAGGUUCAACAGGCAAGUUCAGUACGGUAAAGUAAUCUGAGGUUUUCGCCUACUUUUUAAAUUUAAGACCAAAUAACCCGCCUGACACUGAUGCUGAUAAUAAGUGUUUUGCGUUUCCGAAAUUUAGGUUGUUUUGGAUUCAUUUCGAGGACGGCUGUUCCAUUAAUCUUAACUGUAGGCAGAUAAACAACCAAAUUGAAACGAUGGAAUUGGAUUAACAACCGACCGAACAGUUUGGAAGUGCAGGAAACAAAUUUGAAUUCAUCCGUGGCCUUCAUGGAAAAUACUACUUAAUACCUCAAAAAACCUUCCAAUGGAGCUCUUCCGUUUAUUUGCAGGAACCGGAACAUUCUGCUUACCAGCUUGGUUAAAGUUGGCUGAAUACCAGUUGGUGCCAUUAUCGAUGACGGAUCUAUGGUUGGAGCUGAUGCCAAUGCUGU